CAGAGAUCAAAAAUGUCAAAAGCGCAGAGCGUGCUUGUAGAUGUGGUGAUAAUAUCUGUAGGUGAAGACAGGUAGAAAUUGCAUGUUCCACUUUGCUAGUUGAAGAGCUACAUUUCAACUUGCAUUUCAGAUGGAUGUUUUAAAAACACCAGCCAGCGCUGGGGCUGAGAGAAACAGCACUGCAGCUCAGUCCGGCCCAGACAGGAUGUAGAAGACCUGCAUUGCUGGUGGCCUGUGUGAUCUGAGGAACAAACAUGGUGUGGGUGACACAAAGACAUAAGAAACAGUCCUGCAGCAUGGCUCCUGUUCCUCGGUCUGGAGACUACCCAAGGAAGUCACAGGAGUCAAUAGAGGCAGCUGUGCAGUGCACAAAGAGCAGCACCACUGCGGAAGGAGGGAUUCAGUCCAGGCAAGGAAGAGUGUUCAAAGUAAAGAGAUUCUCCAGAUGGUUGUGCUCGCUUGCUUGACAAGUGGGGCUGAGCAAAGCUUAAUAGGUACCAACACCAAGGAGGAAUUUUGUUUCCCAAAAUGCCAAUUCCAAGGAAAGAGAAAAAUAAAUAACACUGAGUAAGUUUGAUAGUUUCUCA
Molecule: long non-coding RNA, 587 nt
Filed under: Anser cygnoides (Swan goose)
Lineage: Eukaryota; Metazoa; Chordata; Aves; Anseriformes; Anatidae
Description: lncRNA (ENSACDG00005001257.1)
Source: RNAcentral